This 337-nucleotide signal recognition particle RNA is filed under the name Otolemur garnettii (small-eared galago). RNAcentral describes it as "Metazoan signal recognition particle RNA (ENSOGAG00000031339.1)". It matches the Rfam family "Metazoan signal recognition particle RNA". Rfam says of the family: The signal recognition particle (SRP) is a universally conserved ribonucleoprotein. It is involved in the co-translational targeting of proteins to membranes. Lineage: Eukaryota; Metazoa; Chordata; Mammalia; Primates; Galagidae. The record is from RNAcentral.
GCCGGGCGUUGUGGCGGGCGCCUGUGGUCCCAGCUACUUGGGAGGCGGAGGCAGGAGACUCGCUUGAGCCCAGGAGUUGGAGGUUGCUGUGAGCUGUAAUGCCACGGCACUCUACCCAGGGGGACAGCUUGAGGCUCUGUCUCAAAAAAAAAAAAACAACGAACAGAGUCUCAAAGACAUUCAUGAAUCAGUCAUGUUAUAAUGGCAAGGCCAAGAUUUGAACUCCUAUCUUUCCAAAGCGCCCAGUUUUUUUUUUUUUUUUGAGACAGAACCUCAAGCUGUCCCCCUGGGUAGAGUGCCGUGGCAUUACAGCUCACAGCAACCUCCAACUCCUGGG